Molecule: long non-coding RNA, 2209 nt
Filed under: Mus musculus (house mouse)
Lineage: Eukaryota; Metazoa; Chordata; Mammalia; Rodentia; Muridae
Description: long non-coding RNA chr9:110260362-110262571
Source: RNAcentral
CCUGGUCUACAGAGUGAGUUUCAGGACAGCCAGGGCUACACAGAGGAACCCUGUCUCGGAAAAAAAAAAGAAGAAGAAGAAGAAGAAGAAAAAAAAAAAAAAAGAAAUCUCUUCAGUGAGAUGAGCAUAUUCUUUCCCCCUUUAAGAAGUCCGUGUGAGUGUAUGUGCACCCUGUGCUUGCUGGUACCCGGGAGGCCAGAGAGUGUGGGAUGCUCCAGAACUGGAGUGAUGUGGGUGCUGGGAACCGAACCUGGGUCCUCUGGGAGAAACGGUAAGUGCUCUACCACUGAGCUGCCUGUCCAGCCCCGUCUCUACCAUUCUUGGUGACCAUGAUACUGUUUAGUCAACAGAGUCUGAACCAUGAAAAUGACCAGGGAGGCUGGCGCCAAGGCUUGCCCUGACUGUCAUCCUCCCUCCAAUGCUCUUUCUGGGACAGGAUGAGGUAGGGGUUGCCAUAACAGCCUCUGACAGCUCAGAAUGUAGAGUCAGAGGCCAGUGCUGGGGUGGGCUUCCUGUAAAUCCUUAAGGGGCAAAUGCAGCUCAAGGUCAGGUGCAUGUUCUGGACACAGGUGUACCUGCAAAGUGUGUUUCGAACUGUCAGCUUGAGUAUGGGCUGUCAGAACGUGGGAGGCCGCUGAGCUGACUGGAGGAGGCACUGGGGCCUGGCUUGAGCAAGUGCCUUCUGAAUUAGUGUCUCCAGCGGGUACAGUUCUGAUGGCCUGAGGCCCAUGUCUUUAGCUUCUAGUUGACUAUGAGAGAAGUCACCAUAGACCUGUGCAUGCCCCACUGGGGACGCUGACAAGCCAUCUUCCCUCACCAGGGUUUCUUGUGAGAACAUUUACACACGCGAGACUUUGGAUCCGUAGUCAAGUAUUUAAAGGAUCUUUUCCUUAGGCUGGAAAGAUAUCUUGGGGGAUAACAGGUGUUGCUCUUACAAAAGACCCGAGUUCAAUUCCCCAGCACCCAUAUUGGCAGCUUAUAACUGCCAUUAACUCGAGUUUCAGGGGAACCUGAGGCCUCUGACUUCUGCAGUUACCUCCUCCACUCGGGAACACGUACCCACACACAGAUCCACAGAUGAGCACACAUAUACAUGAUUAAAAUUAAUAUGAUAAACCUUUACUGGAAAAAUCUGUAAAAAAAAAAAAAAAAAGAAAGAAACAGCCUGGUAUGGCAGCAUGCACCUUUUAUGGCAACACGAGUGGCAUGUCAGAUCUUGGUGAGACUAGCCUGGUCUACAUAAUAAGUUCUGGACCAGCAAGGGCUACCUACAUAGUAAGACCCUGUCCAUAAAUAAAUCAGUAAAUGGACGAGUUUCUCCCCACCUCUCUUUGUGAGAGGCCUGAAUGGCCUGAAGUAAACUUAUUCCUAAUCUGACCUCCCGUGUCUGCCUGUCUGUCUGCACAUAGGACAGUCUGGUCUUGAGCUUGCUGUAGAGCCAUGGCUAGCUCUGACUUUCCAGCUCUCCUGCCUCUGUUUCCUGACUGAUGGGUCCUGUGAACUGGAUCCAUGCUCUCAGGAGGGAGACUUUCCUCAGAGGCUGCUGCUCUUCCGCCCCUUUUACUCCUCUGGCUUAUUCCAAACUUAGCAUCGCUAUGACCGGCUCCCAACCACCUAGGAGAGCUUGGCACGACUGCUCUGAUCCUUUAUAUAUUGUCUGUCUUCCCAAAACUCCCGCCAACUCUCUCCUCUUCCAGGACGACCCCAGCGCUCCCCACAAAAUCCAGGACCCUCUCAAGUCCCGCCUGAAGGAGGAAGAGUCCUUUAACAUCCAGAACUCCAUGUCACCCAAACUUGAGGGUGGCAAAGGUGACCAGGAUGACUUGGGGGUGAACUGUCUGCAGAAUAACCUAACCUGAGACUGAGGAAGAAGAGAGGAAAGGGGGGUGGGGGAGGGAAGGACUGUUGUCUCCUCUCGGGCAGAGUCGGCUUCUUGUAACCAUUUGUUAAGCUUUUCUUUUUCUGAUCUCAUGGCAUGCUCUGAUGUGUUUUGUAGGAGGGGAAACACUUAAAAUAAGCAAAGAAACCGAGCAGGAUUGCAUAUAUCGGAUGGUUCUUGUCUGUGCUCUCUGUACGUUGCUUCUGCAGCUGUGAUUUCUAAACCUCUGCUGGCACUCAGCUGACUUUUUGUUUUGUACUUUGACCCGCCUUUUUUUGGAAUACCAAGUUAAAAAAAAAAAGUUCUUGAAAUAAAACUUUUUAAAAAGCU